GCUACGGACUUAAAAUCCGUCGACUUUAUAAGUCGUGAGGGUUCAAGUCCCUCUAUCCCCA
This 61-nucleotide transfer RNA is filed under the name Phalaris aquatica (canary grass). RNAcentral's name for it is "partial tRNA-Leu". It matches the Rfam family "tRNA", at positions 23 to 71 of the family's 71-position model. Rfam says of the family: Transfer RNA (tRNA) molecules are approximately 80 nucleotides in length. Their secondary structure includes four short double-helical elements and three loops (D, anti-codon, and T loops). RNAcentral also lists the same sequence under 9 other names. The record is from RNAcentral. Lineage: Eukaryota; Viridiplantae; Streptophyta; Magnoliopsida; Poales; Poaceae.